AUCCACCCACCUUUGUCCAGUUUUAAACCUUUUGAAUCAUAGCUUGGAUAUGCUAGUUAGGGACUUAUUUCUGCCUAGCAGUUCAAACUGACAGUGAGGAUAUACCUUCAUGGAGCAAACUUCAGGCUUCCACCUUUGCUGAAUGGGCUGAGCACAUAUGGUCCCCAGACCUACAGGAUCACUGAGAGGGAUGUUCCCAGCUGCUCUGUGGCACACGGGAGGCAGCUCCUGGACUGUGGGUGCAGAGCAGACAAGCAGAGUGGAGGAUGGAGGAACUGCAGGAGGAAAAAAUACCAUUCUCGGGUCAAAUGCAUACACACGGUGUGGGGGCUGAGGGCUUGCACAUCCAGGAUAAGUUCCUCCUCACUUUUUUUGCAUGCUUGAAUUUUUGCAGUUCCUUAUUCAACUUCAGCUCACUUUUUUCACUCUGUAUACUAUUGGAUCCCUUAAAGACCCCCACUAAACCAGGAGCUACAUUUUACUGGGUGCUGCUAAAAUGGUCUUCCAUGCCUCAGUGAGCUUGCAGGAUAAGUAGACAAAACAAGGAAGGUGGCCAUGUCAGAACUGCAACUGGAAUGUGGCUGUUGCUGGCUCCUGCUGGAGUGAUUAAAUGGGAACAGGGCCACAUAGCUCCUCCCUCCCUUAAAAAACAAAAACUGUGGGCACUUGUACAGAAAACAACCCCUGCCUCUGUUUGUCCUCGUCUUGCUGUAGUUUUCUUCUUUGAAAUCAGAGUUUGUUUUUUGGGGUUUUUUUUCAGUGUCAUAAUAAAUUAAUAUAGGGGUGAGGUUCAAAAUGGAGUCAUCUUUAUUGAAACGAGGAGUCGGCAAAUGUCGCGUCUACCUGGAAAUCUCUUUAGGCAGUGGUGUAAAUAAAAAGCAACUUUUAACUGCAAUAGAACAGAAUGACUGGUUGCUAAAAAGAGCUGGUUUAAGGUUUUCAUUAAUUGACAGCUAUGAUUUAUCCUAUUCUUUACCAUUUUGAGGCAGUUUGUAAUCAAGUACAGAACCACUGGACAUUAAGAUUUCAGAGGGAAGCCUGGAAGAACAUCUGUCUUCGUCACAAUGUCUGUUAAUUUUUAAUCGCCUCGGGAUAAUUUUAAAACAGGCUGCAGGUUUCUGGAACAUUCACAUAGGCAAGUCCUUCAGUUUGCUGGCUGUUGAGGGUUAGAAAACCCUGCAGUUCACAGGACAGUGAGACCAACAAGCUGGAUGAGAAAGUAAAUGCUGUUGACACCUACUCAGACACAGUCUUCAAUGAGUAAAAACAUUAAAUAAAUAGAAUCUGAAGUUCCCAGAGGGACAUGCUGGUGGAGUGUUUCAGAGACUCUCCUACGAGUUCAGCUUGACUGGAAAUGUUUAAUAUCAAAAAAAAAAAUUUUUCAAAGGAUUUUUUUUCUCUCUUGAAAAUAUUAAAUUCAAGGAGUGUGACUCCAAGGUGGACGAAGGAAGUAAAUGGAAAACUGGUGGCAGGAGCUGGGUUUUUGCAUUCAGCAAAAUGGCAUUUUCUGAUCUCUGUGCAACAUGAUAUCCUGUAAGCACUACACUUGGUUUGCUCCAAAAUUUCAGGGAAGGUUUCAGAGCCAUUUUAACUAGGGAGAUCCUCAGUGGGUAGUGCUCGUUGCAGGCUGAUGUGGAAGGUUGGCAACCGUAAGGGGGAAAUAAAACCUGUGCCUGCAUCCUUGUGUCCUAUCACCUUGGGCCACCUGCACAGGAGUUCAAGGGAGCUUCAACCAUUUUACUUUGCCCCCAGGAUGGGGGCACGGGUCCUGCCUGGGUCCCCUGAGCAAUACUCCCAGAUAAAUAUUUGUCACUGGCAAAUUUCCAACAUGAUGAAACUUAGUCAGGUCAGCUCUGCCUCUGUCCCAGGGUGACCAGAAAAGCUGGCACAAGUGACUGGGCUCCUGAGAAGGAAGGUGAAUUGGCAGUGACCUUGGUGGUGGGGUGAUGUGGGGUCAGCCUCAGCUGCAGGCUGGGUGGGAGUAGAAUGAUGGGCAGCUUCUCUCCUCCAAAACCUCUGGGAUGCCAAAGACUGUGCACCUCCGAUGCCAGCAUGUGCCCGGGCGGCAUUCUCAUCACGGCUAGGUCAAGUCGCAGCCUUCCCACCACAGCCCUCUGGAGGUCUUUCACUGCUCCCUGCAGCCCUGGGCUGUCACUGUGGUGCUCUUGGAGGGCCACUGCCUGCACUUCCCAAAUACUCCUGCUUGCCUUCACGUUGCAAGAGGAGGGAGUCCAGCUACCCACUUGAGGAACGGCAAAUUUACCUGCAGAGGAAUGACCACAGGUGCCCAAAUCCCUCACUGGGGUCUGCCAGGACAGUCUACCUGUGGGGUGUGGAAGGCUUGCUCCCACUGUAGGGGAAAACAGCAGCUCAACCCUACCCCAAAUAAUCACAACUUGACACAUGCAAGUUUUACAUAAUCUGAUAGCAAUUAAAGCUGCUAAAAAUUGGUCUAAACAGGAUACAUUUUUCCUCUGAAUGUUUUGGCAGGAAAGAUUUUUGAGCAACAAAUGAAAAUGACAUAAAUAGAAAGGCAGUCCCCUGGAAAGACAAAUCCAAAGUCUUCUGCUGUCUCUGCUCAAACUGACUAGCACUUUGGUGUAAUAAUCUUCCUGUUGAGAUCAAUGAGGCUGUUAAAUAAAUGAAGCAUUCAAGUGUAGAAGAAAAUAAGGGAAGAGAAAUGGCAUCAUAUUGAAAGACUAAAAUUCAAGCCUCCUUGAGCCCCAAGGAAAGGGUAAAUCCAUUAAGUUGUGAAGAAAUAAGAGCUGGAAAGAGUCUGUCAGAUCCAUUCUAAAACUUAUGAUAAAAUAAAACUUUCUUAGGGGGCAGAAAGCAAACUGAAAGAAAUGGCCAUAUGGCAGGAGGGUACGGCUCUCCUAGUAUGCUAAUUGUUACGUACUUGGCGCAUCUGCAAGUGUCUCUGUUGAAAUGUUUGACAGACUGGCAAUUCCUUCUUCCAAAAUAAAAAUGAGUUGGUUUAGUUCUACUUUACUGCUAUGUCUUUGGAGAUGGCUGGUGUUUGGUCCAGUCCCUCAGGGAAAAAAAAAAAAAAGAAGGAAAUAGGUCAAAAACACACCAAAAAGAAUUAACAAGAUUUUGGGUCUCUAUCUAUGUAGGAAUGUGUGUGUGUACAUAUGUGUAUGUAUGCGCAUAUAUGUUUAACUUUGCCCCGUGGGGAUGUAAUUCCAACUAGAUAUAACAGGACACUUUUUAAAAAGAGACUGGAUGUGGCACUCAGUGCCAUGGUCUGGUAACCGCAGCGGUAGUGGAUCAAGGGUUGGUCUUGAUGAUCUCGGAGGUCCCUUCCAAGCCAGCUGAUUCUAUGAUUCUAUGAUUCUAUGAUAAUAUACACUCUCCAACUAGAGCAGUAGAAGAGAAUACAUAGCAGAAUUAUUCUGCUGGCUGAUUUUGGAAAUGUUGUAGUGGUCUCCAUGAUGCCAGUGUGACUGUGUUCCUAUGGGAACAGGCUGCCUCAAAGCAAAAGGGUUCUGUAGCAAGAGCAAAUGAGUCCUGGCUAAAAACUUGGUGUUUAGCAAAAAACUACAUAUUCUGUAAAUAUCAAGUAUUCUGCAAUAUUCGGAUUAAAUUCACUCACUUUCAAAACUAAUUGAAAGAGUUCUUUUCUACUCUGCCAAUGAGGCAAGAUGCAAUCAGUUACAUUCAAACCAUCAUUAGGACUAAUUAGGACAUCCCAGGUACUAAAAGCUUGUUCACAUCCUCCUUGCAACCACAGUGUUACUUCUCAGAGCUGCACUCUGAUGAUGCUGCCCCUUUUGAAAAGCACCAUACUGCAGGAGUAAUCCCAUAGGCUUUAAUGGGACUACUGAUUAAAGUACUACUAAGUACUACUUAUUAAAGCACUGUUCUGUGUGAGGGAGCAUUCUGGAGUCUGACUUUAUGUUAAUGUUUGCCUUAAAUGCAGAUGUCUUCUGAAGAAGUGUGUUGUAUACUUGAAGAGUUUUAUGUUGCCUUAAUGUUGACUUGCAGCAGGAGCAAUGCUUAUAGAAAACUCCAAAGCUCUCUUGAAUAUGAUAAACACAUCACACAGCGGACAGCACAUCCACUGGAUGUGGGACAUGGCAACACUUCGUCUUGUGCUGGAGCACGGGUUCUUCUUCAGGACAGACUGCCAGAGGAACAUGUUCUGUUCCCUCACUCCUCCUGACCAGGACUGAUAGAGCUGUUUUUCCAGUGAAUUUCCAGCUAGACUAUUAAAAUAAACUACUCCCUGAAAGCUUUUGCCUUGAA
Long non-coding RNA from Pseudopipra pipra, 4248 nucleotides. RefSeq lists it as uncharacterized. The record is from RefSeq and is a predicted model, not a curated record. The transcript has 2 exons. NCBI's taxonomy places the organism in Eukaryota, Metazoa, Chordata, Aves, Passeriformes, Pipridae.